UCAAAUUUGAAAUCUGGCACCUUCGGUGUCCGAGUUGUAAUUUGAAGAAGGUAACUUUGGAGUUGGCUCUUGUCUAUGUUCCUUGGAACAGGACGUCACAGAGGGUGAGAAUCCCGUGCGAUGAGAUGUCCAACUCUAUGUAAAGUGCUUUCGAAGAGUCGAGUUGUUUGGGAAUGCAGCUCUAAGUGGGUGGUAAAUUCCAUCUAAAGCUAAAUAUUGGCGAGAGACCGAUAGCGAACAAGUACAGUGAUGGAAAGAUGAAAAGAACUUUGAAAAGAGAGUGAAAAAGUACGUGAAAUUGUUGAAAGGGAAGGGUUUGAGAUCAGACUUGGUAUUUUGUAUGUCUUGCUUUCGGGUGGGGCCUCUGCAGUUUACUGGGCCAGCAUCGGUUUGGACGGUAGGAUAAUGACAUUGGAAUGUGGCACUACUUCGGUGGUGUGUUAUAGACUUUGUUGAUACUGCCUGUCUAGACCGAGGACUGCGUCUUUGACUAGGAUGCUGGCAUAAUGAUCCUAAACCGCCCG
Molecule: ribosomal RNA, 524 nt
Filed under: Scheffersomyces shehatae
Lineage: Eukaryota; Fungi; Ascomycota; Pichiomycetes; Serinales; Debaryomycetaceae
Description: eukaryotic LSU rRNA
Rfam family: Eukaryotic large subunit ribosomal RNA
Source: RNAcentral